GGCAUGUCCGUCGGAGCCCAAGCGAAAACAUCUACAUUCUUUUGUAAAAAAUUGAUAAGCUGUGUCUGCACCUCUUUCCCCAAGUUGGAGCCGAUCUUCACCACGUGCUCUUCAUUUUCAUCAUUCAAAGGAAUUGAGAUAAGAUCUUUAAUCGGCUCACCCCGUUCUUCAGCAAGGUCGUUGCAAGUGUCCAAUCCAUCAA
This 202-nucleotide long non-coding RNA is filed under the name Elaeis guineensis (African oil palm). RNAcentral describes it as "long non-coding RNA (EGUI_LNC053722)". Lineage: Eukaryota; Viridiplantae; Streptophyta; Magnoliopsida; Arecales; Arecaceae. The record is from RNAcentral.